Molecule: non-coding RNA, 85 nt
Filed under: Pseudomonas helmanticensis
Lineage: Bacteria; Pseudomonadati; Pseudomonadota; Gammaproteobacteria; Pseudomonadales; Pseudomonadaceae
Source: RNAcentral
UGUAGGAGCUGCCGAAGGCUGCGAUCUUUUGAUCUUGAUCUUAAAAAACAGGAUCAAAAGAUCGCAGCCUUCGGCAGCUCCUACA